AUGUAUUGUAUACAAUUAUCCCAAUGCUGCUAGACCUUUACACUCUAAUAACUCUAGGUGAUAUCAUUUCUUGCCCUUGACCUUUACACUCUAAUAACUCUAGGUGAUAUCAUUUCUUGCCCUAGACCUUUACACUCUAAUAACUCUAGGUGAUAUAAUUUCUUGCCCUAGACCUUUACACUCUAAUAACUCUAGGUGAUAUCAUUUCUUGCCCUACCCUUUACACUCUAAUAACUCUAGGUGAUAUCAUUUCUUGGCCUAUACCUUUACACUUUAAUAACUCUAGGUGAUAUCAUUUCUUGCCCUAGACCUUUACACUCUAAUAACUCUAGGUGAUAUCAUUUCUUGCCCUAGACCUUAACACUCUAAUAACUCUAGUUGAUAUCAUUUCUUGCCCUACCCUCAUCACUCUAAUAACUCUAGGUGAUAUCAUUUCUUGCCCUAUA
This is a long non-coding RNA of Mytilus californianus (California mussel), 446 nucleotides long. RefSeq lists it as uncharacterized. The record is from RefSeq and is a predicted model, not a curated record. The transcript has 3 exons. NCBI's taxonomy places the organism in Eukaryota, Metazoa, Mollusca, Bivalvia, Mytilida, Mytilidae.